GUUUAACAUCUCGAGAAACUGCCCAACUGUUUUCCAUUGUACUACCAGCAAGAGUAAAAAAGCCAUAAAGAAUAUCCUGCAAAAAUGUACCUACUUACCAGCCCUUGAACCAUUUCUAUAUGAUGCUCCUCCCAAUAUUCUGAAACAUGUGGUUGGACAGUUCAGUAAGGUGCUGCCGCAUGAUAGCAAAGCUCGACGACUUUUUGUAACAAGUGGUGGCCUUAAAAAAGUUCAAGAGAUAAAAGCAGAACCUGGUUCUCUCCUUCAAGAAUACAUCAACAGUAUUAACAGUUGUUACCCCGAGGAAAUAGUGAGGUAUUAUUCCCCUGGAUAUUCAGAUACACUUCUGCAGAGGGUGGACAGCUAUCAACCACUUAAUAACUGAGCAAAGUUAUAUUGUGAUACUCAAAUUCACAGCAGAGUAGUUUUGAGUAACAGUAAUUAAAUCCUUCUAAAUAUUUGAACUAAGUAUAUUCUAGAUUUAUUUAAUGGGAAAUACCUUUAGAUAAUAUUUUCUAAAUUUAUGUAAUACUUUAAACAUUCGUAGCUUGAAUAUGUGAGGAACUAUUCAUGGUCAUUCGCAUGCAUAGGAUUUGUUCUACAGGUAGAUUUUAAAAACACGUUAAAGGGCCUUAAGGCAUUUUGUUAUUCUGUUAAAAACCACACACACUCGUACAUGCAGACACCUCCAAUGAGAUAUAGUUAAGAGAUGGCAUUCAAAAACCCUAAAUUAUUCUAGCCAAUUUGUCAUAGGCAUAGGCAAGGAAAGCUGGCCUUGCUAACUAUAUAGUAGUAUACACAAGAGAAAUCUUUGAAGGAGGAAACUGAUGACAGAUAUACAGGGCACUUGAAGGAGACUCUGAUGCUAGUUAUAUAAGUGCAUUAACUUAAGACACGGACUCUGUGGGUAACCUGUUAGGUUUUACUAAGAAUUUAGGAAAAAUUUACUCCUCUUUAUCACAAGUUUUCCAAACCUCCUUCCCCACCCUAUCUAAAGUGUUCCUUACCUUUCAUGGGCCCAGCGAGGGUAGAAUUCAGAAUAGAGAGUUAUACUCCUGCAUACAUGCUCUCCCUCUCAUUGAAAGGUUUCUUAGUCUAGCUCUGCUCAUGAAUGAACAAAGAAGCAGGCAUGUAAAAUGGAUCCUUGUCCUAACGUCACUUUCCCAAGUUUCAAAAGUCACAUUUUCAGGUAUUUAAGGAAUAGUUUGAAGCUAAUACCAUCAGGCUCAGAGUUUACAUGCAUUUUUACUUAGGAAGUGGUAAACGGGUGAAAGAGGGUUUCAAUAAAAUUUUAAAUAAAAACAGCAUUAGAAUUGUCCUUUUCAUUUUUCCUA
This 1334-nucleotide long non-coding RNA is filed under the name Homo sapiens (human). Its description in RNAcentral is "HSALNT0356820". Lineage: Eukaryota; Metazoa; Chordata; Mammalia; Primates; Hominidae. The record is from RNAcentral.